UACAGAGGGUGCGAUCGUUAAUCGGAAUUACUGGGCGUAAAGGGCGCGUAGGCGGUUGAUUAAGUUGGAUGUGAAAUCCCUGGGCUUAACCUAGGAACUGCAUACAAUACUGAUUGACUAGAGUGCUGUAGAGGGUAGUGGAAUUUCCGGUGUAGCGGUGAAAUGCGUAGAUAUCGGAAGGAACACCAGUGGCGAAGGCGGCUACCUGGACAGACACUGACGCUGAGGCGCGAGAGCGUGGGGAGCAAACAGG
RNAcentral lists this ribosomal RNA (253 nucleotides) under uncultured bacterium. RNAcentral describes it as "partial 16S ribosomal RNA". It matches the Rfam family "Bacterial small subunit ribosomal RNA", at positions 524 to 776 of the family's 1533-position model. The record is from RNAcentral.